UUUUAAUUUCAUUCAAAUAAAACAAAGAGAGCAUAAGACUAGAAAUCUAACUAAACAAGGGUGGAGGUAUUCCAGGAGUGUUAAUAAGUGUUAUAGCAUCUUCCAUGGAAUUUAAACCCUAAAUCUUAAACGACAGAGGCCCAACGAUAUGUCUAAGAGUGUAUGAAUUAGAAAAGUUUUCGAUUAGCAUUGUGAAUAAUCUUGGCUUAGCAUUUCUUUGUAUGUGUUUAAGUACUGAUAAGAUUCAACAACCAAACACAACAAAUAAUGAACAGUGUUUUGCAUGUCUUUUAAUAAAUAUGCUCAGUUUUGAGGUUGAAAAUAAUAAUCAAGAACCAUUCACAUAAACCAUUAAAUAUCAAGCUCAACACAAUUAGCAAACAAUAUGGAAAUUUAAAGAGCUUAAGGAAAGAGAGAUUCAAAUACAGGAAUUUAUAGCAAUUCAACACAUAAGGCCUAAAUCUGUUACUCAAAGCUCCACUUAAGUACAUAAGGCCUUAGCAGCCACUAAUUUGCAUUUAUUGAAGACACUCACAAACAAAAGAGAGAAGUAAAAGAAGCUUGAAGGUAACAGAGCAUAUAAACCUGGUCUGAAUAAAGAAUAAUUCAUAGCACUUUCAGAUCAAAAAGAAACACGAAAUGAAAAAUGUGUAGCAGAAUGAAACACAUGUACUUUAAACUCAAAUCUUAUAGCAAAAUCAGCUAGUCUUAGACUUACAUUCUUGUGGCUAGGUGCACGAAAUUUCAUGCAGCGUCAAAGUAUGAUUUCAUUUAGUGUCAUCGAAGUAUGCUUCAAGAAAACUAUAUGAUCUUCAACAAGAAACAAUGGGAUCCUUCUAACACUAAUAAUUCAGUAAGGUUCACCUGCAAUAAAGUUAGUCACUACCAUGCUGUGCUAUGAGCGAACUCCAGCACUCAAACAGAUACAAGUUCUCUGUAAACUUUUCCAUCAUCUUUUUUCCUUUUUAAGACGAAACCUUAUCCAUGAACUGAGCUCGAACUCUCCAUCUACAUAACUUUUCAUGCUUCUCAUUAGUUGCAAGAGCCUUUCUUAACACUCAAACUUGGAAGUUGGUAGAUGGUACAUAUAGGGUAACACGACCUUUGCUUCUUGCACAUUUUUCAAUAAUAGAACCCAAAUCCUUCCUGCCUCUAUCUACCAGUCUUGGUUAUUGGAGCAAAUUCAUUAAGAGAUCUUCAAAUUUCAAUUCCCAAGAAUGGGAAUUGAUAGUGACUAUUUCCAUGCCUAUUAAGUGAAAGAGGGGCCUUGUAAAGGUCGACUUCGAAUUCAAUCUAUGACACAGGAACUGAGAGAACUCACAUGCAUGAGCCAGUAGCAGAUCUAGAACAUAUUUUUCAGAGCUCAACCUCCAAAUGGCAAAAACAUGGGUUCAUGUCCCACAUAAAAGGUAAAGGAUGCUCGAAUUCAGUACUAGCCAGCAGAAAGUAUCUCCUUUGCUAGUCUAUUGGCCUUGCACAGCUCCCCUCUUGAGCAGAGUGAAGCAAUUAAGGAAUAGUAAGAGUCAAAGAAUUCUAUUUCAGAUUUCCCCAAGUCAUCAUAUUUCUCAAUCUUUUUUCCGCCUUUCAUUACAUCACAAGCUGUAAAUCCCAAAUCAGUUCUCUCAUGUGAUACAGUUCUUGAAGCAAAUACAUCAAAAGCUUCCGAUUCAGAAAGUUUUUCCAGUUCUUGUGAUUCACAAGGACCAAACUUCUGAACUGGAAAAAACAUGGAUCCAACUUCAUUAAGUACAGUAACUGCUUCUUUGAUACUUCCUUGCUCACAUAAGAAAACAAGAAAACUUUGUAUAGACUCUGUUUCAACCGCAGUGUUGACUCUGUUCAACAUCUCCAUCACAGAUUGUGAUUGAAGCAUUUCUCUUAAGAUGCUCCUGGCCUCUUCCAUCCUCCCCUUGGCACACAGACCCCUCAUCAAGUGCAAGAAACCCAAGAAAUCAGGAUAAAUACUGUUCUGCUUACACUUGAAAAAGAAGUUUAGAGCCCCCUCCAAGUCACCCUUCUGACAAUAACCAUUAAUCAUUGAGCUAACAGUAAAUUCAUCAGGAUCAAGGUGUUCUAUUUCAAUAUUUUUCAGAAUCUCCAAGGCCUCUUCAAACUGACCAAAAUUGCAAUAACCGUUAAGAAAUGAAUUAUAGAUUCGUAUAUUCACUUUAUAGCCUUUAAGGGUCAUUCUCUCAAAUAAUUGCUUGGCAUCCAGCAAGUAUCCUUCCUUACAUAAAUUGUCAAUCAGUGUCGAGUAAGUGAUUUCUGAGGGAACCAAGUCAAUUCUUUCUAAUGAGUCAAAUAGCCGAAAUGCUUCAACAAAACAUCCCUGGUUGCACAACCCAUUUAUAAUUGAAUUAUAAGUGAUUAUAUUAAGAACAAUCCCCUUCAUUUCAGCAAAAGCACAGAUCUUUAACGCCUUAAUAGGAUGCCCAAUCUUGCAAAGUCCAUCAACCAUGAUAGAAUAAUCAACCACAUCCAUAACGGGUAGAUCAUCUUUAGCUCCCACAACAAGUUUAUAUGUAUCCAAAACACUACCAAAUUUUGCAAGUGCUCUUAAAGCACUGAUUGGAAGAGUGAUGGUUAUAUUGUUCUCCUUAAUCUUGUUGAGAAAAUAAAGGGCACUAUCAACAUCCUUCAAACACAGGUAAUGCAGUAGUAUCUUACUGACCUUAGGUUCAAAAAGGCCAUAUUCUUUUACAAAGCUACACAAAAAGGGCUGACUUUCCUGGAAUUUCCCAUCAUUGAAAAGCCCUCUUAUGGUCCAAUAGUAAGAUUUGCUGCUCAAUAUUGAUUUAUUCCUCCUUGCUAACUUGUAAAAUUCACUUGCACCCAUAAAGAAAUUCCUUUUGCACAACAAAUUGACAGCAUUAUAUACAUACAUUAAAGCUGAAUUGCCUUUGAAACAGUGAAGCAGCUCAAGUUGCGGGCUCCCUCAGUUCAUACACAGGAACUAAACAGUAGUAGGCAACCAAAAUUAACAAAGCAAAAUUCAGAAAAAAAAAGGGUGGGGGAACCUGAAAUUUUGAAGGCCUAUGCCAUUGUUAGCGAGAGGUAGAAGAGGACGACGAUGAUAUUGCUAAGUCCUGCCAGGUCGAAUUCAGGAUGGGUCAAAAUCAGACUCGAACCACCACAGAAGCGUGAAUAUGGGGAAAUUGAGAGGGUUUAGCAGGAACAGACUUCGAAAACAAAUAAAGGAAGACAAAUAUCAGAUGCGACGUAGUAAAGAAGUGUUAUUGGGUUUUGUUUGAGGCUGUAGACAGUGUUCGUUCCGCUCGCCGGCGCCGGAAAGUAGAGUAGUAACAGU
RNAcentral lists this unclassified non-coding RNA (3307 nucleotides) under Hevea brasiliensis (rubber tree). Lineage: Eukaryota; Viridiplantae; Streptophyta; Magnoliopsida; Malpighiales; Euphorbiaceae. The record is from RNAcentral.